GAUGAACGCUGGCGGCGUGCCUAAUACAUGCAAGUCGAGCGAACGGACGAGAAGCUUGCUUCUCUGAUGUUAGCGGCGGACGGGUGAGUAACACGUGGAUAACCUACCUAUAAGACUGGGAUAACUUCGGGAAACCGUAGCUAAUACCGGAUAAUAUUUUGAACCGCAUGGUUCAAAAGUGAAAGACGGUCUUGCUGUCACUUAUAGAUGGAUCCGCGCUGCAUUAGCUAGUUGGUAAGGUAACGGCUUACCAAGGCAACGAUGCAUAGCCGACCUGAGAGGGUGAUCGGCCACACUGGAACUGAGACACGGUCCAGACUCCUACGGGAGGCAGCAGUAGGGAAUCUUCCGCAAUGGGCGAAAGCCUGACGGAGCAACGCCGCGUGAGUGAUGAAGGUCUUCGGAUCGUAAAACUCUGUUAUUAGGGAAGAACAUAUGUGUAAGUAACUGUGCACAUCUUGACGGUACCCAAUCAGAAAGCCACGGCUAACUACGUG
RNAcentral lists this ribosomal RNA (497 nucleotides) under uncultured bacterium. Its description in RNAcentral is "partial 16S ribosomal RNA". It matches the Rfam family "Bacterial small subunit ribosomal RNA", at positions 28 to 507 of the family's 1533-position model. The record is from RNAcentral.